This is a long non-coding RNA of Hippocampus zosterae (dwarf seahorse), 540 nucleotides long. RefSeq lists it as uncharacterized. The record is from RefSeq and is a predicted model, not a curated record. Lineage: Eukaryota; Metazoa; Chordata; Actinopteri; Syngnathiformes; Syngnathidae. The transcript is spliced from 2 exons.
UUAUAAAAGAAAGAAAAAAGGGAUAAACCAUUGUACCGACACGUGCGCUCCAUAGCAAGUGUAUUAGCAUCGAGCUAACCUAACGUGCUCACGGCGAAUAGCGCUGUGGCCUUCGUUUGAGCCAAUGUUAGAAAAUCGUUAUUUUCCCUAGCCGAUGAUUGACACGUUUAGUGAAUGCCUUGCGCAUUUUGUGCAUGCUGUUUUUUUUGGGACUCAUAGGCCAUCAAAAGAUUGGACUACGGAGUCUGGAGAUUGGAUGCCACGUGGGACGUUGGUGAAGGACAUCUUAGACUUCAAAGCCACCCGUCCCCUGGAGGGUGGUAGGACAGUUGAAAGGAUUUCCCUCUUUUUUUGUUUUUGAAUUUGAGAUCGGUCGCUUUUUUUUUCAUGGGUCAGAACUGAUACCAAAAAAAAAACAACUGAUAAGAACUGCUAACAAUUUAAAUUACUGUAUGUUUUUUUUUUCUUGUUCAGCUUUAUGCAUUCUGGUUCAGUUUCCCAUCUACUCCUAUUGUAAAUAUUCACUCAAUAUAUUUUUUU